Molecule: ribosomal RNA, 245 nt
Filed under: uncultured bacterium
Lineage: Bacteria
Description: partial 16S ribosomal RNA
Rfam family: Bacterial small subunit ribosomal RNA
Source: RNAcentral
UACGUAGGUAGCAAGCGUUAUUCGGAUUUACUGGGCGUAAAGGGUCCGCAGGGGGUCUGCCAAGUCCGGCGUGAAAGCCCACGGCUCAACUGUGGAACGGCGUCGGAAACUGGCGGACUAGAGUGCAUGAGGGGUGAGCAGAAUUCCUGGUGUAGCGGUGGAAUGCGCAGAUAUCAGGAGGAAUACCGAUGGCGAAGGCGGCUCACUGGCGUGCAACUGACCCUCAGGGACGAAAGCGUGGGGAG